GAUGAACGCUGGCGGCGUGCCUAACACAUGCAAGUCGAACGAACAGACGAGGAGCUUGCUCCUCUGACGUUAGCGGCGGACGGGUGAGUCACACGUGGAUAACCUACCUAUAAGACUGGGAUAACUUCGGGAAACCGGCGCUAAUACCGGAUAAUAUAUUGAACCGCAUGGUUCAAUAGUGAAAGACGGUUUUGCUGUCACUUAUAGAUGGAUCCGCGCCGCAUUAGCUAGUUGGUAAGGUAACGGGUUACCAAGGCAACGAUGCGUAGCCGACCUGAGAGGGGGAUAGGCCACACUGGAACUGAGACACGGUCCAGGCGCCUACGGGAGGCAGCAGUAGGGAAUCGUCCGCAAUGGGCGAAAGCCUGACGGAGCAAGGCCGCGUGAGUGAUGAAGGUCUUCGGAGCGUAAAACUCUGUUAUUAGGUAAGAACAAAUGUGUAAGGAACUAUGGACGUCGUGACGGUACCUAAUCAGAAAGCCACGGCUAACUACGUG
This 497-nucleotide ribosomal RNA is filed under the name uncultured bacterium. Its description in RNAcentral is "partial 16S ribosomal RNA". It matches the Rfam family "Bacterial small subunit ribosomal RNA", at positions 28 to 507 of the family's 1533-position model. The record is from RNAcentral.